RNAcentral lists this ribosomal RNA (836 nucleotides) under uncultured bacterium. RNAcentral's name for it is "bacterial SSU rRNA". It matches the Rfam family "Bacterial small subunit ribosomal RNA", at positions 101 to 925 of the family's 1533-position model. The record is from RNAcentral.
AACGGGUGAGUAACGCGUGGGGAAUCUGCCUUGGAGCGGGGGACAACCUUUGGAAACGAAGGCUAAUACCGCAUAACAAUGAUUUGGACAUCCUUAUCAUUUGAAAGUAGCUAUUGCUACACUCCAAGAUGAUCCCGCGUUGGAUUAGCUAGUUGGUAGGGUAAAGGCCUACCAAGGCGAUGAUCCAUAGCCGACCUGAGAGGGUGAUCGGCCACAUUGGGACUGAGACACGGCCCAAACUCCUACGGGAGGCAGCAGUAGGGAAUCUUCGGCAAUGGGGGCAACCCUGACCGAGCAACGCCGCGUGAGUGAAGAAGGUUUUCGGAUCGUAAAACUCUGUUGGUAGAGAAGAACGUUGAGUAGAGUGGAAAAUUACUCAAGUGACGGUAUCUACCCAGAAAGGGACGGCUAACUACGUGCCAGCAGCCGCGGUAAUACGUAGGUCCCGAGCGUUGUCCGGAUUUAUUGGGCGUAAAGCGAGCGCAGGUGGUUAUUUAAGUCUGGUGUAAAAGGCAAUGGCUCAACCAUUGUAAGCAUUGGAAACUGGAUGACUUGAGUGCAGUAGAGGAGAGUGGAAUUCCAUGUGUAGCGGUGAAAUGCGUAGAUAUAUGGAGGAACACCGGAGGCGAAAGCGGCUCUCUGGACUGUAACUGACACUGAGGCUCGAAAGCGUGGGGAGCAAACAGGAUUAGAUACCCUGGUAGUCCACGCCGUAAACGAUGAGUGCUAGCUGUUUGGAGCUAUAAGUUCUAAGUAGCGCAGCUAACGCAUUAAGCACUCCGCCUGGGGAGUACGACCGCAAGGUUGAAACUCAAAGGAAUUGACGGAAUCGAAUU